Molecule: ribosomal RNA, 1888 nt
Filed under: human gut metagenome
Description: bacterial LSU rRNA
Rfam family: Bacterial large subunit ribosomal RNA
Source: RNAcentral
UCAAGCUACAAAGGGCGCAAGGAGAAUGCCUUGGCACUGGGAGCCGAUGAAAGACGUGGUAAGCUGCGAUAAGCUUCGGGGAGGAGCAAACAUCCUUUGAUCCGGAGAUUUCUGAAUGAGGAAACUCACCAGAGUUCAUACUCUGGUAUCCUGUACUGAAUCCAUAGGUACAGGAGGGGAACCGCCUGAACUGAAACAUCUAAGUAGGGCGAGGAAGAGACAUCAAACGAGAUUCCGUUAGUAGUGGCGAGCGAACGCGGAAGAGGGCAAACCGGAAGGAGAAAUCCUUCCGGGGUAUGGACCGCUUUUAGGACUUUAGCUGUUAAUCGAAUGGCAUGGGAAGGCCAACCAAAGAGUGUGAGAGUCACGUAGAUGAAAACGGCGAGAGCUGCGCGAGUUCCAGAGUACGGCCAGACACGUGAAACCUGGUCGGAAGAUGGGGGGACCACCCUCCAACCCUAAAUACUACCCAGUGACCGAUAGCGUAUAGUACUGUGAAGGAAAGGUGAAAAGGACCCCGGGAGGGGAGUGAAAUAGAACCUGAAACCUUGUGCCUACAAGCACAUAGAGCACAUCAACGUGUGAUAUGGUACUUUUUGUAGAACGGUCCGGCGAGCGAUUGUAUGUUGCGAGCUUAAGGUCUUAAGGACUGGAGGCGUAGCGAGAGCGAGUCUGAACAGGGCGUUCAGUAACAUGCAAUGGGCCCGAAACCGGGUGACCUACCCAUGAUCAGGCUGAAGUGAAAGUAAAAUUUCAUGGAGGGCCGAACCGACCUCCGUUGAAAAGGCGGCGGAUGAAUUGUGGGUAGCGGAGAAAUUCCAAUCGAACUCGGAGAUAGCUGGUUCUCCCCGAAAUAGCUUUAGGGCUAGCCUCAUAUUAGAUACCCGGAGGUAAAGCACUGAAUGGCCUAGCGCCCGAGAGGGUAGCGAAGCCUAUCAAACUAAGAAUGCCGGAGUAUUGAUGUAUGGGAGUCAGACAGUGUGAGAUAAAUCUCAUUGUCAAAAGGGAAACAGCCCAGAUCUACAGCUAAGGUCCCAAAUUGUAUCUAAGUGGAAAACGAUGUGGAAAUACGCAGACAACCAGGAUGUUGGCUCAGAAGCAGCCACUCAUUUAAAGAGUGCGUAAUAGCUCACUGGUCGAGCGUCUCUGCGCGGAAAAUUUAACGGGGCUAAGAUACAAACCGAAGCUUAGGCUGCACGUAAGUGCGGGGUAGGGGAGCGUUGUGUAAGCGGAGAAACAGUAGCGUAAGCGGCUGUGGAGUUUACAGAAGUGAGAAUGCCGGAAUGAGUAGCGCGAAUGUGGUGAGAAUCCACAUGGCCGGAAACCUCAGGUUUUUGGAGGAAGGUUCGUCCGCUCCAAGUUAGGCGGGAGCUAAGGUCAGGCCGAAAGGCGUAGCCGAUGCACAGACGGUAGAGAUUCCGUCCCCACCGAAAGAUUUAAGCACAGGGACACUUUUUGAAGGUCGGAGCCAGGUGUUGGUUCUGGUAGUGAUCGAGGGAAAUAUAGUACCGAAGUCCGGCUGGAAGAGAGGCGAGAAAAGCUGUGUGUAUAUCUAAGGUGCCCGUACCGCAAACCGACACAGGUAGGUAGGAAGAAGAUUCUAAGGCCAACGGGAGAAGGGUUGUUAAGGAACUCGGCAAAUUGACCCCGUAACUUCGGGAGAAGGGGUGCUCCAGAGAUGGAGCCGCAGAGAAUCGGCCCAAGCAACUGUUUACCAAAAACACAGGUUUGUGCUAAAUCGAAAGAUGACGUAUACGAGCUGACGCCUGCCCGGUGCUGGAAGGUUAAGAGGAGAUGUGCAAGCAUUGAAUCGAAGCCCCAGUGAACGGCGGCCGUAACUAUAACGGUCCUAAGGUAGCGAAAUUCCUUGUCAGGUAAGUUCUGACCC